This is a non-coding RNA of Violaceomyces palustris, 84 nucleotides long. NCBI's taxonomy places the organism in Eukaryota, Fungi, Basidiomycota, Ustilaginomycetes, Violaceomycetales, Violaceomycetaceae. The record is from the annotation of a GenBank genome assembly.
GCAGGCUUCGUAUAGUGGUUAUUACACUUCGUUGUGGUCAUCAGAGGCUCCGAAGAAACGGAUGUUCGAUUCCUCCAGCUUGCA